AAAACAUCUGGUGUUUGGAUAAGUAGUUGCUUGGAUAAUACACAAGAAUGAAGGGGUACGAAUUGGUUACAUGCUAAAAGUAUGUUUUAUAUUAUCGCCGAGAAUAUAGGACAUAUUAGUUGAUACCUCUGCAAAGAAUGCACAGAAAUGAGCUGGUAAAAUCCUGACUAAAACGGGAAAGGUACCAUCCCCUACUAUAUAAAUACGAUCAACAUCAAUGUUCAAGAUACGCAAUUCUAUUAUAUUCUUCUUCUUUUUGUUGA
This 263-nucleotide unclassified non-coding RNA is filed under the name Hevea brasiliensis (rubber tree). The record is from RNAcentral. Lineage: Eukaryota; Viridiplantae; Streptophyta; Magnoliopsida; Malpighiales; Euphorbiaceae.